CCCUUAGAUGUUCUGGGCUGCACGCGCGCUACACUGAUGCGAUCAACAAGUUUUUCCUAUGUCGAUAGACACGGGUAAUCUUUUGAACUCGCAUCGUGAUGGGGAUAGAUUAUUGUAAUUAUUAAUCUUCAACGAGGAAUUCCUAGUAGGUGCAAAUCAUCAGUUUGCAUCGAUUACGUCCCUGCCCUUUGUACACACCGCCCGUCGCUGCUACCGAUUGGUUGAUCUGGUGAAUUAUUCGGACUGCCGGCUGAAGGGGUUUCCUCAUCUGCCAGCGGAAAGCCUUGUUAACCCUAUCAACUAGAGGAAGCAGAAGUCGUAACA
This 324-nucleotide ribosomal RNA is filed under the name uncultured eukaryote. Its description in RNAcentral is "partial 18S ribosomal RNA". It matches the Rfam family "Eukaryotic small subunit ribosomal RNA", at positions 1470 to 1796 of the family's 1831-position model. The record is from RNAcentral.